UGAGGAAUAUUGGUCAAUGGACGGAAGUCUGAACCAGCCAAGUAGCGUGCAGGAUGACGGCCCUAUGGGUUGUAAACUGCUUUUGUAUGGGGAUAAAGUCAAUCACGUGUGAUUGUUUGCAGGUACCAUACGAAUAAGGACCGGCUAAUUCCGUGCCAGCAGCCGCGGUAAUACGGAAGGUCCAGGCGUUAUCCGGAUUUAUUGGGUUUAAAGGGAGCGUAGGCUGGAGAUUAAGUGUGUUGUGAAAUGUAGACGCUCAACGUCUGACUUGCAGCGCAUACUGGUUUCCUUGAGUACGCACAACGUUGGCGGAAUUCGUCGUGUAGCGGUGAAAUGCUUAGAUAUGACGAAGAACUCCGAUUGCGAAGGCAGCUGACGGGAGCGCAACUGACGCUUAAGCUCGAAGGUGCGGGUAUCGAACAGGAUUAGAUACCCUGGUAGUCCGCACAGUAAACGAUGGAUGCCCGCUGUUGGUACCUGGUAUCAGCGGCUAAGCGAAAGCAUUAAGCAUCCCACCUGGGGAGUACGCCGGCAACGGUG
RNAcentral lists this ribosomal RNA (540 nucleotides) under uncultured bacterium. RNAcentral's name for it is "bacterial SSU rRNA". It matches the Rfam family "Bacterial small subunit ribosomal RNA", at positions 355 to 896 of the family's 1533-position model. The record is from RNAcentral.